This 556-nucleotide ribosomal RNA is filed under the name Arachnobas tricolor. RNAcentral describes it as "partial 16S ribosomal RNA". It matches the Rfam family "Bacterial large subunit ribosomal RNA", at positions 1827 to 2642 of the family's 2925-position model. The record is from RNAcentral. Lineage: Eukaryota; Metazoa; Arthropoda; Insecta; Coleoptera; Curculionidae.
GGSUUAUUGAUAAUAAUUUUAAGUCUGGCCUGCUCUAUGAUGAUAAAUUAAAUGGCCGCGGUAUUUUGACCGUGCAAAGGUAGCAUAAUCAUUAGUUUUUUAAUUGAAAGCUUGUAUGAAAGGUUUGAUGAAAAAAAAACUGUCUCUAUUUAAGUUAAAUAGAAUUUUAUUUUUAAGUGAAAAAGCUUAAAUGUGUAUAGAAGACGAGAAGACCCUAUAGAGUUUGAUAUUUAUUUUUAUAAGUAAAAUUUUAGUAUUUUCUAGCUUAUGAAAAUAAUUAUUUAGUUGGGGUGAUUAAAAAAUUGAUUAAACUUUUUUUUUAUUUAAACAUUGAUUUAUGAUUAAAUGAUCCUUGAGUAAAGAUUAAAAGAUAAAAUUACCUUAGGGAUAACAGCGUAAUUUUUUUUUAGAGUUCUAAUCGAAAAAAAAGAUUGCGACCUCGAUGUUGGAUUAAAAGAAAUUAUUGGUGAAGAAGCUGAUAAAUUGGGUCUGUUCGACCUUUAAAAUUUUACAUGAUCUGAGUUUAAACCGGKGKGASCCAGGUCGGUUUCUUAUC